This 384-nucleotide ribosomal RNA is filed under the name uncultured bacterium. Its description in RNAcentral is "bacterial SSU rRNA". It matches the Rfam family "Bacterial small subunit ribosomal RNA", at positions 29 to 414 of the family's 1533-position model. The record is from RNAcentral.
AUUGAACGCUGGCGGCAUGCCUUACACAUGCAAGUCGAACGGCAGCACGGACUUCGGUCUGGUGGCGAGUGGCGAACGGGUGAGUAAUGCAUCGGAACGUACCCGGUAGUGGGGGAUAACUACCCGAAAGGGUGGCUAAUACCGCAUAUACUGUGCGCAGGAAAGCAGGGGACCUUCGGGCCUUGUGCUACCGGAGCGGCCGAUGUCAGAUUAGGUAGUUGGUGGGGUAACGGCCUACCAAGCCUGCGAUCUGUAGCGGGUCUGAGAGGAUGAUCCGCCACACCGGGACUGAGACACGGCCCAGACUCCUACGGGAGGCAGCAGUGGGGAAUUUUGGACAAUGGGCGCAAGCCUGAUCCAGCCAUGCCGCGUGAGUGAAGAAGG